AUUGAACGCUGGCGGCAGGCCUAACACAUGCAAGUCGAGCGGAUGAAGGGAGCUUGCUCCUGGAUUCAGCGGCGGACGGGUGAGUAAUGCCUAGGAAUCUGCCUGGUAGUGGGGGAUAACGUCCGGAAACGGGCGCUAAUACCGCAUACGUCCUGAGGGAGAAAGUGGGGGAUCUUCGGACCUCACGCUAUCAGAUGAGCCUAGGUCGGAUUAGCUAGUUGGUGGGGUAAAGGCCUACCAAGGCGACGAUCCGUAACUGGUCUGAGAGGAUGAUCAGUCACACUGGAACUGAGACACGGUCCAGACUCCUACGGGAGGCAGCAGUGGGGAAUAUUGGACAAUGGGCGAAAGCCUGAUCCAGCCAUGCCGCGUGUGUGAAGAAGGUCUUCAGAUUGUAAAGCACUUUAGGUUGGGAGGAAGGGCAGUAAGUUAAUACCUUGCUGUUUUGACGUUACCAACAGAAUAAGCACCGGCUAACUUCGUG
This 484-nucleotide ribosomal RNA is filed under the name uncultured bacterium. Its description in RNAcentral is "partial 16S ribosomal RNA". It matches the Rfam family "Bacterial small subunit ribosomal RNA", at positions 30 to 507 of the family's 1533-position model. The record is from RNAcentral.